UGUAAAAAAUUUAUUUAUUUAUUUAAAAGGCAGAAUGACAGAAAGUGAUAGAUAGAAAUCUUCUAUUGGCAUAGACCCACUCAACUGUCCCCACACAGACAUGUCAGAAGUAUUUGUAUGUUUCCCCCACGUCUUAGAGUUUCCAUAGGGUCAAGACAUUUUUUUCACUAAAUAAGACACAUAAAAAUAAAUAAUCAGAUAUAAAAUUUGAAGUUUGUAUUUAAAUAGAAUGUGAUGCUAAAUUUGAUGCUACAGGGAUCAAAAUUAUGAGUGACUGUGACAAACAAUAAGAACCUAGAAUCUUCAUCAACAAAUUCCAUAACUAAAGUCAAACAAUACUAUGUAACAGUGGAAGGCUCUUGAAAAAAAUCUACUACAUUCCCAGAAAUGAGUGUCGAAAAAGGAAACGAGUAAAAGGACACUGAACAUCAGUGCAGGAACCCAGCUUUGAGAUAUCAACGCCAAACUCUGAACUCUACAACCUAACCCAGAUAGCUCAACCCUAAAUUAGUUUCGUCUCCUACAAUGUGGAUGCACUCAUGUCCUAGCAACUGCACAUUCUGCAGAAUGUCCUUACAGUACUUUUCCAAACAUGGCAACUCCCCUACAGAGGCAAAGCUGCAACACUGGUUGAAAAGAAAGUGCUUGGGAUAUGGACCAGAUUUUCCUCUCCCUGUUCUCAACUGGAAACUCACUAUUGAGCUGCCCAAUUACUAAGUCCACCUGGAUGUAGGACCCUUGAAUUCUACCAUAUAUUACAAGGUUGGAAUUGGAGUGCUAGUGGAAGCUACACAUAUUAUUCUCUGAAUUCUCACUGAGACUGACAUUUGGAAAGUAACCACUUUGGCUUUCUAAUUUGGCUCCUGUAUUAAUGGGCCUGGGUCAUAGAUAAGGAAAUAUCAUUCAUAUAAUAAAUCUUAUAUAGUAAACAAAUUUAAAUCAUACUUACUUGAUACUUAAUAUAAAUUUAUGAGAAAACCCUCUUUGGGUUGCAUAUACAGAAACCUACUAAAACUUCAGUGAAAUGAGGCUUAUUAUAUUUCAGGUAAUUUACUAAGUAUUAUGUAUCUACUAGACACAGGCUAAUAACUAAGAUAAAUACAAGCAUUUUGGGCUCCCAUAAAAAUGCAGCAGUAGAGAAUGUGUUAGAAAUAGUUUUUAGGCUGGCGCUGCAGCUCACUAGGCUAAUCCUCCGCCUUGCUGUGCCAGCACACCGGGUUCUAGUCCCGGUCAGGGUGCCAGAUUCUGUCCCAGUUGCCCCUCUUCCAGGCCAGCUCUCUGCUGUGGCCAGGGAGUGCAGUGGAGGAUGGCCCAAGUCCUUGGGCCCUGCACUCGCAUGGGAGACCAGGAGAAGUACCUGGCUCCUGCCAUCAGAUCAGCGCGGUGCGCCGGCCACAGUGUGCUGGCCGUGGCGGCCAUUGGAGGGUGAACCAACGACAAAGGAAGACCUUUCUCUCUGUCUCUCUCUGUCUCUCUCUCUCUCACUGUCCACUCUGCCUGUCAAAAAAAAAAUAGUUUUUACUUUAUGGUUACCACUAUACCAAUGAAUAAUUUAGUUCUGAAAGCCUGAAAGCCUUUUUGUAGUCCAAAUUCUAGGUAAUAUUUGAUACCAAUGCUAUGUAUGUGGAAAAUGUAUAUAAUGCUAUUGAGAUUUUAAGUUUCAUGAAAAAAAAUAGAUAUGGAUAAAGUUGUUUUUAAGUUUUUUGCUUUUAGAAAAAUUAUCUCUAUAUUUCAAAAUGUUUAUAUUUUGCCUUAAAUUUGUCGCUUGAUACAAUACAAAAUAUACAAAUGAACUAUUGAAUAGUGAAUAAUGUAGUUGUCAAAUUUAUAGACAGAUGUUUUAUAGGAUUGUUAAAGUCUUGCAAGAAAUGCAAGCUCUAAGUUGUAAGAUGUGGCUGGCUGGUAGAGGCAUUCUUAGACAACCCAUAGGCUACACUCUGUGUUAGUUGGCAGCCCUGUUCCUAUUAUCCAUUGUCAUGCUGUGGCUUAUAUCGGGACACAUACAAUAGAUGAUGCAUCUAUUAACAUCCUCUGUUAUGCAUUCUUUAAUGGUUUUAGAGAUGUAUUAAAUUUUAAAUUGAUGUAUAAACAGCCUAUCAAAUAAGCAGCAGAAAAUUUGAGAUUUUUUAUAACUUUCAGGAAACAUAAAUAGCUUACUGAAAAUAAAGAUACCAUAAAUGCUGUAAGGUAAAUAAUUUUAAAGAUUGAGUCUCCUUGACAAAAGUACAUAUCAUUCUAUGCACUUCCAUUCAAAUAAUAUGCUUUGGCCUUCAUCAUGUUAAGUAUUUAUUUAUCAAAAAUGGGUUCCUAUUUACUUGAAACUUCUGUUUGGUAUCCAACUGUGCUGCAAGAGUUAGCCUGUAUUUUGAAUGGCUCUGGAAUGCAGUGGGCAUUGGUGAGAGAAAAUCGACAGGCUUCUCUCAUCCCCAUUAAUACAGAGGUCAUAGUAUCUGGAUAAAAAUUAAGCUACCCAAGCAGAUGGAUAGAUGAGGAAAAAUAACUAUUAAUAACCUAUGGCUGCUGCUUUUAAUUUGAGACUAUCUCAGUUGGCAGGCAUAAUUUAUGAAUCAAUAAUAAAUAUUGCACUUGCAUCUAUUUUUCUAAAUUCUAUCAAUUAUUUAGUCAUUAAGUAAAUGAGUUAAAGCUUGACUUUACUUCAUUUGGAAUCCAAACUGCUGUGAUACUUCAGCAGUGGGAUUCAUGUUUUAAAUCUCUGUUUGCCCUAGAAUAAUUCUAGUGAGUAUCUUUGGCUAAAUAGAAUCUGAGUAUCCCAUUUUCAAAUAGAGAAACAUUUAGCAAAAUAGGAGUUAUUGUCAGUUCACCUAAUGGAAGCCAAAUUGUAAUCCAAAAUGUUGUUUCAAAUGACACACACACACACACACACACACACACGAUUUACAAGCUUCACAUCCGACAUGUUUAACAUACCCACUAAAACACAGAACUAGCACUUUUGUCCCAGAAAAUGAGGUUCCCAAACCAACCCAGCAGAACAAAUGGAGUUCCAUGAGCCUUUUCUUUUUAAAUUGGCAACUUAUUCUUAAUGGCUAACUUAAACAUAACUUGAUUCAAAAUUAAUUAUCAAAGGUAUAUAGCAUUUUGAUGAUUAAUUUUUGGUCUACAGAAAGCUUACUUAAAUACAUAAAAACUUCGAAACAUUUCAAAAAAUUUUUAAAAGUACAAUCCUAAAACUCAACACUAAGAGGAAAUAUAACAAUAAACAAAAUAUUGCAUAAAUAACCUGUUUACCCCUGCACUCAUGUUCCCUUUCUCUCUCUUCUGAUGCUCUUCUCCAGAGUACAAAAACAUAAUCCAUACACACAUGGAUCAAUAUAUACAUGCAAAUAUUAGAGGUAACUAAGACAUCAAGUUUUCCCUUUGAACACUAUUAAUAAGGGGGAAAGAAUUGCUUAACAGGUAAUUAAAGAACCCUAGCUGAUAAGAAAUCUUUCUUUAGAAAGCCUUUGAGUGAAUAACUAUAGAAUAGAGUUGGAAAGAUCAAGUCAUUCUGAGAUCAUACAGAUCACAAUCAUCAGUGGAUUUUGAAAAAACAGAAAGGUCCAGCUCUCUCCACUGAUCCCACUGAUACAUCACCAAAUUACAGUGACCAGAUGAGCUUCCGAAUAGACUAAUAUAUGGAUUACACAGCACCCUCUAUAAAACAUCUUUGCUAAGCUGUUGAAUCUGAAUACCACCAGCUCUUUAGACCUCACUUUUAGUCUUUGAUAAAUACCGAAUAUUAGAUUGAGAUAUAAAGCAGAUAUUUUGCUGACCCACUUUGAAUUUGUAUCAGGAAGGGAAAACAAACGAGUUAUGCAAAAAACACCAAAAAGUUGAGUUUGGAUUUUAUACAUAGCAUAACCCAGACCAGAUUUAUUAUAUCCAUUGCUAACUUACAGAAUUUGGUACUUAGAGCAGGAAUGCAAAGUUAAGUCUAUUGCCUCGCCAAGGUAUGAUCUAUUUUCGGGAUGCAAAGCGUUAUCAGAGCACAUGCAAAGUUUAAAUGAAUGGUGGCAGCUUUGCCAGUUCUGAGAGAAUAUUAAUGAUAUUGUGAACAUUUUUAUAGCUUUUUUUGCAUCUGACUUCCUUACUGUUUUUAUUAAAGUAUUGACGAGAAAAUUGAUUACCAUUGUAAUAAAAAUUAUUUGUUAUGCUCACUUUCCCAUGUCUCUCCUUCGUUAUAGUUUUUUACAUCAAAUAUAAAAAUUUGGAUGUUAUUUUAAAAACUAGAUAUGCAUACUUACAAUGAAUUAGUUUUUGAAACUAGUAAUCAGAAACUACCUCAUUGAGUCUCCAUUGAUUCUUAAAUCAAUAUGAAUGUCAUUUCAGUUUAGUUUCUGUUAGUUGACUAAAACAAGGGGUUGUAAUAUGUGAAAACUUGAUGGUUCUGAAACAUUGCAAACACUUGUAUCCGUGUUUUUGAAAAUAGAUGUGACCAUGAACUUAAGUUUGCUUUCUCAUGCAUAGAUAUAACAAAUAUAAGAAAUUUCUUCAUAAUAAUCUAACAUAAAAUUUACAUUUUGUGACAUUCUUUUUUUGUCUCCUAAAAUGUGUUUGCUUUCAGUACACAUUAAAAGGAUGUGAAUUUUACAUCUGAAUAACAAUAUUCAAUCUAUUGUAUGUACAUUAUCCAGGAAAGCAUAGUUUUUUCUCACUUUCAUUUAACAUUGGAUUAACAUCGAAUGUUGAACCAGUUUUAACCAACUUGGAAGCAGCUCUUUGCUGAAAAAUGAUUCCCACUUAUUUGAAGAUGUUGUUCCCUCCAGGAAACUAAAUAGCACAUCCAAGACAUCUACUUUCACAUAAAAAGGAUUGGAAAGAGUUUUUUAUUUCAUGUUGAUAAAAAAGUAUGCUAAUUUCUUCAUUAAAAUACUGAAAUUUGUUCUGAUUAGCCAAAAUGCAAAUUUUAGAAUAUGAUAUGGUAAAUGUUUACAAUGAAACAUAUUCUAUUUUUUAUAUAUCUUUGAGAUAAUAGCAAACUCUCCUGUACACAUUUGUGACUUCAGAGGUAAAUGUUCAUGAAGCAGCAAUGGUGCCAUAGCAAAAGAAAAAUUUUUACAAUGUAAUGGUUAUCUGCCAUUAUUUUUGCUCCUUAAGGAUUUUAGACUAAAUUAACACAUUAAAUGUCUUUAUUUAAGGUAAUGAACCAUUAUUAAUAAACUACAAAAUAUUCUGUUAUAUAAAGAAUACUGCCUUCCUAGAGGGCAGUUUGGCAAUACUUAUUAAAAGCCCUAAAAUUUAGUGAACCACACAACUUAGCUGUUCCACUUGUAGGAACUCACAUUAAUGAAAUAAUUUAGAAUGUGCACAAAGAUUCCAUUAAGAGCAGGUUCAAUCAAGCAUUAAAUCUAAAUGCUCAAGGAAAGGAUAAGAUACAUUCUAGAAGAUCCACACAUAUCCUACAUAGUCUUUAGAAACAUAGUUCUCUUCUGUGAAAGCAAAUUUAUUGCUAAAGAGUCUCAUGAUCCGUAAAAUAAUGUGAAUGGAAGGCUGAAAAACAGUGUAAUGGUUUGCUUCUGCUUUUAUGAAUAUCACAUUUAUAUUUUUAAGUGUGCAUGUCACUUGUAACUCUAUCUCUAGGUAUGUACACAAAACUAUCCACAGCAGCUUCUACUGUUGGGUGGGUUUGCAUGAUUUUUCUUGCUGUUCUUGUGUAUUUUUAUACAUUAACAGGUAUUCCUUAUGAAAAGAAACUUGUAAAAUAAUCCAGAGCAUUUUAUGAUUACAAAAACAUAGAUAUCAUCAUAAUCAUAUAUAUAUUUUGUGAAAGAAAAACAUCUAUGUAAUGCACACUCCUUAUUUACAGUAUAUGUUAAUAUGAAUUAAAACAUAUCUAUUACUUCUUGCAUUUGGAGCAUUCCUUCAUUAAAACCGUGGUGGUAUAGUGGACUAUUUUUCUCUUUCUGUUUGGAAGAUGACAAUACCACAUUGUGUUUAAGCAUGUAAAUAUUGAUCAAACUCUCUGAAUGAGAGGAAACUUGUUUCAUUGAAAAAUGGGCAUGAUAAUAAAAAAAAUCUACUUUAGAAAGUUAUGUACAUUAACUGGAAAAUGAACGUAGUGUUUACAUAGUGCUGGUUUAUACUGAGGGUAUAGUUGGAAAACACUCUACUAAGCAUCAUAUAUGCAAGGUAUACACACUUUAUGAUCCAAAGGAGAUUCAAGUAUUGAAACUCUUCUAAGGACAAGACUCCAAACAAUUCUUGAACUAUAAAAUAGUCUCAAUCACCAGUGUUUUAACUGUUAGAUUAAGCUCUCAGCUAACUUAAUUUUUACAAACAUUAUAAAAAAUAUUUAUUUAUUUUCACUUUAUUUGAAAGAUGGGGGUGGGGAGAGAUAGAGAGAGAGAGAGAUCUCCAUCAUCUACUAGUUUACUUUCCAAAUACUCACACCAGCUAAGACUGUCUCAAUCCAAAGUCAGGAACUUGGAACUCAAGCUAUGUCUCCAACAUAGGUGCCAGGGACCCAAGUACUUGAAUCAUCACCUGAUGUCACUCAAUGUGCAUUAGCAGAAAACAGGAAGCAGGAAGCAGAAGUGGAACCUGGAUUUCACCCAGGCCUUCGAGAGCAGGAAUACAGAUAUCCCAAGGGGCAUCUUAACUGCUAUGCCAAACUUCCACUCCACUUUUCCACAACCUCUUUAAAGUAUCGUCUCAUAUGAUGGUCUUUCUUGUAAUAAGCUAUUUAUGGGAGGCCAGCAUUUUGGUGGAGUGGUUUAAGCUGUGACAUUGGCAUCCCAAAUGAAUGUUGGUUCAAGUCCCACUUACUCCACUUCCCAAACAGCUCCCUGCUAAUGCACCAGUGAAUGUUGGUCCAAACACUUGGGCCCCUGCUACCCACAUGAGGAACCCAGAUAGAGUCCCAAGUUCCUGGCUUGUGUCUUUGGCCUGGCUCAGCCCCAGUUGUUGCAACCAUUUGGGUAGUGAACUAGCAGAUGGAAUAUCUGUCUCCCUCUCUCUGUCUUUUUCUCUGUGUUUAUCUGCUUUUAAAAUAAAUAAAUAUUAUAAGUUAAAAAAUAAUGCACCUAAAAAAAAAGAACUUAUUUAUGUUCUUCUCAGAAAGUAGUUUCCUAAGAGUAGGUAUCUUCUCCAUUUUGUUCAACAUUGCCUUGCUAACUCAUGUGGGUCUCUUUUGUAAAGUAUAAUCUUAAUAAAUAUUUGUUAAUUCACUUGCUAAAUGGCUUCUAAUAUUCUUGGUUCAGGAUUUCUUUCUUGGUCACUUUUGUAUUCCCUGAAGCACUUAGCAAAGUUUUUAGCAAAUUUGUUACUGAAGGAAAAAUUGUUGAUUUGAAAAUUAGACAGUGGACAGUGGAAUUGAUAAAACUCUCAACUUUCAGGGAUAAUUAUGCCUUUUAAUUAAUAUUUUAGGCUAUAUAUCUGCCCCAAGUGACUUACAAUUGACCCCAUAAUUUUAGAUGUCUUCCAUAUAAAAAAUAAUCCUUCCUAAAUUGUAUGUAAACCAUUCAUAAAUUUUUUAAAGCCCACAAAAUUUCACUUAGUUGAUAAUUGCAGAGAAAUGAUAACAAUGAAUACAAAACAUCUCAUCUCUUUUGCUUACCUAGCAGAGCCUACCAAAUGUAACUGAAAAAACCCCAAGGCUUCUGAAUUCAGGAGAAACCAUCUCCUAUGCCUGCUAAAAUAGAUGCUUGAUGCUAUCAUUUUCAAAGACAUUUAGAAAUACAAAUAUGUGAAUCAGUCAUUUGUAUUUUACUCUGAAACCAAAUCACUCAAAAUUAUUUUCAUCUCUUUUAUUGUCUUUUACUGUUCUAUAUAAGUGAAAUUCAUCUGAUCACUGACAACUUUCUGUAGCUUUCUCUGUAAUAAUUUCAUAUAACUGACUUCACAGCUUACAAAAUGAUUUUUAUAUAUUGCUAUCUGCUAAUAAUUAGGUCCAGAUAGUCCUAGGGGCUUUGAAGUGAUCCUGGCAUCUGAGCCCUACUCUUCAAUCCUGGGGGUUGUGUCUGCAAUUUCAGUCAUAUUUCCCUUGGUGCUUUUGAACAAGCAAACUGCUCCUUUAGCUCAUCUGACCUGCCUAAAAUGAAAAAAAAAAAAAAAAAGGCAUAAAAUCUCCUGAGAAGGUGUGUCCUAACAAGAUUUCAGACCCAAUUCCAGCCACCAAGGGGGCUGAGAUAAGCCUUAGAUACACAGCUCAGCCUUUGGAUUCUUUCAUCCAACUCCAACCUUGGAACCUUUUGUAAUUCCUUCACCUCUAUUCACUUCACAGGAUUGGGUCCAUCACUAAUCAUAAUAUAGGAUUUUGCUUAGAAGUUUGAUCAGCUUUAAAGUUUGCUCCAGCUCAGCACAGACCAUACCCUUAGCUCUAUAGGAUGAGAGGAUAAAGGGAUUCUUUGCCCUGCACACUCUAGGAAUUAAUUGAACCAACUAUAAAUAGCCAUUCUAAGUAGAAAGGAAACACUCAAGGCAUUACCUUGAAAUACAUGAUUUCAAGAUUGCCUUGAGCUCUUUUGAGGGGGAAAAUUUCAUCUUCCCACUGAUACAUCUUAGCUAUAAUUACUAUAAGUGCACAUCAACUCCACUGGAUUAGAUGUUAAUAUCUUAAAGUUUUUUUUAAUUCCAAAUGAUUUGAGAAUAUAACAAAUGACAAGGCUGAAUUGUGCAAUUAAACUAUUCAAUUUUAAAAAUAUUUAUUUUAAAAUGUUCUGUAAUUUAAUGGCAUUUUUUUCUUCUUUUGUAUAUGUAGAGAGUAAAAUUAUAUCUGCAUAUUUUAUACAUUAUGUAUUCUAGAUACACACAUACACAUACAGAAAGAUAUAGUAAAACCAGAAAAAUAAUAUAUAGUGAAAGAAGAAAAAUUGAACGAAUUACCAAUAGCACACUUAAGGAAGUAUGUUCAUCCACUUAUAUCAGAUGCUGUUUUUGGUACUGUGAGGGAGAUGUAUGUAAAAGCAGGACACUUAUGGCUUCUUGGCCUUUUGGUUAAGAUCAAGUGUAAAAGCAGGACACUUGACUUCCCCAGGAUCAUAGCAGUGGGCAAAUACAUCUAAUUCCAAAGGCGGAAUUUUCAAGGGCAUAACAUAAGUAAAGCAAACACAUAAAUUGUAGGAGAAUUUUGAGAGCAGAGAAAUCAUGAUUAAGGCCCAAUAAGUUUAGAAGAAAAUUUUAAUAUGGAAAAUUUCCAACACUGAAAAACAUACACUUAGGAUAAAAGGGGAAUUUCUAGAGACUAACUAGUAUCUAGAUCAUUGAGUACAUUUUGAAUUUUAAUUAGUGGCUCCUCUUUCUAGUAUUUUCAGAAGGAAUACUAGAAACUUUAUUUACAUGCUGGUGAAGAAUGUUUCAGUAUUCUGAAAUGAGUGAUUUAAGGGAUAAUUAUGUAUAUAAUUAGAAAAUUAUU
Oryctolagus cuniculus (rabbit) is the source of this 9352-nucleotide non-coding RNA. The record is from RefSeq and is a predicted model, not a curated record. Lineage: Eukaryota; Metazoa; Chordata; Mammalia; Lagomorpha; Leporidae.